GAGUUGGACAGGUUGGAUUAUUUGAAAACAGCCUGGGUUGUGAGAGGAAAAUGAGCAGGCCAGAGGAAUUUGGAGCUGCCAGCAUCUUGGAGGGCCCAGAUACAAUCAGCAGAGGAAGAAAACCACAGGAUGAAACAGUCCCAAUGACCAGCACCAGUGAAGACCCAAGACAGCACAAAAGGCCAGCUAGCAGAGAAACAUGAUUGUUCACCGUCCAUCUCUGGGACAACCUAGGUCCUUCUUGCCUUUCUGUCCUCCUCAGUUGACAGAGUCUCUAAGGGAGGGGCAGG
RNAcentral lists this long non-coding RNA (290 nucleotides) under Homo sapiens (human). RNAcentral's name for it is "non-protein coding lnc-ZBTB49-3:2". Lineage: Eukaryota; Metazoa; Chordata; Mammalia; Primates; Hominidae. The record is from RNAcentral.